RNAcentral lists this unclassified non-coding RNA (217 nucleotides) under soil metagenome. RNAcentral describes it as "partial contains 5.8S ribosomal RNA, internal transcribed spacer 2, and large subunit ribosomal RNA". The record is from RNAcentral.
AACUGAUACUACCUGCGGGAACCUGCGGAAGGAUCAUUACCGAAUGUUACCAAACAAACCACUGUGAACCGUCCUUUUAGCUGUUUCGGCGGGCGAUCCCAGGGCGGGAUCCCGGGCUCCUUCGGGGGUGCUCGCCGGCGGCCACUUUCUAGCUCUGUUUCCAGCGGGCUUCUGAGUGUAAGACAAAAAUUAUCAAAACUUUCAGCAAUGGAUCUCU